GAUGAACGCUAGCGGCAGGCUUAAUACAUGCAAGUCGAGGGGCAGCGCGGGUAGCAAUACCUGGCGGCGACCGGCAAACGGGUGCGGAACACGUACGCAACCUUCCUUUAAGUGGAGAAUAGCCCGGGGAAACCCGGAUUAAUACUCCGUAAUAUUAUGAAGUGGCAUCACUUUAUAAUUAUAGAUUUAUCGCUUAAAGAUGGGCGUGCGCCUGAUUAGGUAGUUGGCGGGGUAAUGGCCCACCAAGCCUUCGAUCAGUAACUGGUGUGAGAGCACGACCAGUCACACGGGCACUGAGACACGGGCCCGACUCCUACGGGAGGCAGCAGUAAGGAAUAUUGGACAAUGGGGGCAACCCUGAUCCAGCGACGCCGCGUGGAGGACGAAGGUCUUCGGAUUGU
RNAcentral lists this ribosomal RNA (401 nucleotides) under uncultured bacterium. RNAcentral's name for it is "bacterial SSU rRNA". It matches the Rfam family "Bacterial small subunit ribosomal RNA", at positions 28 to 426 of the family's 1533-position model. The record is from RNAcentral.